CGCAGCCGCGGUAACACGUAGGGUGCGAGCGUUAAUCGGAAUUACUGGGCGUAAAGCGUGCGCAGGCGGUUAUAUAAGACAGAUGUGAAAUCCCCGGGCUCAACCUGGGUCCUGCAUUUGUGACUGUAUAGCUAGAGUACGGUAGAGGGGGAUGGAAUUCCGCGUGUAGCAGUGAAAUGCGUAGAUAUGCGGAGGAACACCGAUGGCGAAGGCAAUCCCCUGGACCUGUACUGACGCUCAGGUGCGAAAGCGUGGGGAGCAAACAGGAUUAGAUACCCGCGUAGUCCCUGUCUCUUAUACC
Molecule: ribosomal RNA, 301 nt
Filed under: uncultured bacterium
Lineage: Bacteria
Description: partial 16S ribosomal RNA
Rfam family: Bacterial small subunit ribosomal RNA
Source: RNAcentral